CGAGGAGGGGGCUGGCACAGGUACUGCUGCACGGAGCUCAGAGCACACAUUGGGAAAGGCACAGCAGCGAGGAUCCAGAAUCACCUUUUCUCCAGGCAGCCUUUUUUUGGGCCAGGACUUGGCUGUGUGUCUAUAUGCAGCUCCUAGCACAGCGGGACGCGGAGCACGAUAGGACCUCUGGAUCCCAUAGUGAUGCUGGUACUGGGAGAUGACUGGAGAUGCUGGCUGGAGCUCUACGCCUGACAGCAGCCCAGGAGCAGGACUGGUCUGGCUACCCUGAAACACUGAGAUGUGAUCGAGUCUGAGCUGGUUACCAUGCUCCAGUGCUCACUGGAGGUCUGACUGCAGCAUGAGGUGGCAUUUGAAAUGUCUCUGAUGGUGGCCCCAUUCAGGCAUUGGAACGUGUUGUCUGGGGAAAUGGCAAGUCUACAUGCCUGGAGGUACUGAAGACAUUCAUGGAUGUGGCACCAAGGGACAUGGAAUAGAGAUGGGACUUGGGCAAUGUAAAUGGGACUUCACCCCAUCCCCACCUCCUGACUUGAGACUGUGGCUUGAGAACAGCAGGAAUUGCUCAUGGGACAGACCAGGGAUGUAUAUAUCAAGGCUGGAACACAGAGAUGAAAGCAUCCCGGGGGCAGGCAGAAGAGUGGGGCUGGAAUUCAGCUUCCUCACUGCAAGAUUUCACUUUCACUGAGUAGAUAUUUGGUAAAAUAUCUCUUCCUCCUCAUGCUGAGGACCUUAUUGCUCCCCAGGCCUGAGCACAGGAUCAUUCAACAGAAAGACAUUGAAAAAGUCAGCGUUGGCUUUUUCUCUCUGCAAAUAACACCGUGUUUCAGAGAGGCUGAAAUUGCAACAUGAAUCAAAGCAGACAGCUGGAGUCUAUGCGUGCAGCCUGCAGCCCUCAUGCACUGAAGGGCCUGCCCUGUCCCCAGGACGUCUAUGGACGCUCCAAGGUGAGAGCCCUGAGAGCAGUGCCUGGUGAGGAGCAGUGUCCUUCAGGUGACACCCCAAAGGCUUGUGCUCAUCCCAUGGGCAUCUAUGAGAAGAGCAGCUGCUGGGCCAGCUUCUUGAAGGUGGGAAAUCUCCUCUUGGGAGCAGUAAUUGAUGAUAACUCCCCAUUUGGAGCACACGGUGAGUCCCAGAGCCAUGCUCACAGCACCCUGAGUCUUCCAUACUGGAGUGGUGUUGCUCCCUGCCCACCAGCACUGAGGCUGCAGCAGAUUUGCUGUUUUAACAUAGCAUUGCAUCCCGGCUCCGUGUGCCAAAAUCAAUAAAGGGAUCAUGAAUGAUAUUUCAAUAAUAACGAUCAUGAGAACAAAUAUAGCCGUGUGCUGGGUGCUGUGCUCAAAUGCAACAGCACAGUCCCUCUGUUGUAUUUAAAGAUCCUGACCCUGGCUGGUUAGAUACCAGGAAAUCUGCUUAUUGAUUUAAUGACCUUUGGCUGAAGUCGUGAGCAGAGAGGAGGCAGAGGAGGAUGGAAUAGAAUCACAGAGCCAUCAAAUCACUGAGGUUGGAAAAGACCUCUGGGAUCUUCAAGUCUGACCCCUACCCAUCCCACCAUGCCCACCAGCCGUGUCCCUCGUGCCAUGUCUCCAUGCUUCCAGAACACUUCCAGGGAUGGUGACUCCACCACUUCCCUGUUUUAAUGCAUUACUUAAAGGUCUUUUCCAGCUUUAACAACUCUAUGACUAUGACCACUUCUUCUGAGAAGGAACCCUUCCCAAUAUCCAAACUGGAGAGCAGGGAUGCAGCUUGCUUGGCUGGGUUUGUUUCAUUCUACCCUUUUACCCUCUUUCUCUUCGUACUCCAGCACCAAGCUUGUCCAUCCCCAGGGAUAAGCACACCUUAUAGCCCCACGCUCCUCCCAAGGGUGGGUACAUCAGCACAGCCACACAGUGUGGCGCUCCCACCCGGGAGCCACCCUGCAGGAGGGUCUUUGGGUGCCCUCCUUCACCCACAGCUAUUUCCACCUGUGGGGCUGUCUAUGGAUAUCUCACCCCCAGGUCUGUGGGGCAGCCCUGGCUGGGGCCAUGCCUUGCCAAAAGCAUUUCCUGGUGAGUUGCAGCCCCGUGGUGAGCCAGCUGCUCGGCAUGGCUGAGAAUCGACAGGGAACCAAGCGGGUGGAGGAUUUUAAUACCUAUCCCUCUCAAACUGCUAUGGAAAGGGAAAGUUCAUUGGUUGUCGAUAUUAUCCUGCUGUGAUAAAAGCUUAAGAAGCUGCUUUGCAAAUGCCCACUGCGAGGAGCAUGCUAUAAAUGUUUCCAGCAUGAAGUGAUACAUCACAGCUCAUGGAUGUUCCCACUGAGAAAGACCCCAGCUCCAGCUUCUUCCAGGGACGCGCUUAGGAAAUGCAAUCUACCACUGCCAGCAUAAUCAAACACAUAUUGUUCCCAGGCACCAAAGUGGCCACCGGUGAAUUGAUACUUGGGAGCACUUUGUUCUUACACAGCUCUUCAUCUGUCACUCUCAAAAUCUGUGGGUUUUCUCCUUCUUUUUGUUUUUACAAGGGGUUCCUAUUACCAUCUCCACUCUGCCAGGAGGGAAACUGAGGCUGGGAAUGUCACCCAUGACUGCUGAGUCUGUGGACGUCUCCUUGGAAUCACAUCAGUUCAUUACAGGCACAGCUUUCCUUUGGCCAUCAGUGUCCAUCUGCUCAGAUGUUCCGGAGCUCCAUCAUGAAAGCCUGGGAAAUUUAUUUAUUUCAACCCAUUUAAAGUGAUUUCACUAAUGUAUUCCACAGAGUGGGUUUAGCGUGUGAGCUCUUUACUAAAAUCAUUACUGUAUUAAUGAGACCUAACCUAAAGCCACUGAACAUGACUUUAAAGGAAUAUCUCAAAGCGGCGGCUGAGAUGGAUGGGAGCAGGCAGAACGUGUUUGUAAAGUUAUAUUUAGUCAAAUCAAACUGGAACUCAUUAAAUACAGCAAAAUAAUUCACUGAAUAAUUCACUCCAGUUGAAUGCGAAGGAUUUGGAGAACCUUGGGUUGUUUGAUUGAAAAGCAGGUUAUUGAUGCUCCUGUGCAUGUGACAGAGCAGAAAUAGGAGUGGGAGGUGGAGAGCUGUCACCUCGGUGUGAAGGGCCUUCCGUGGAGAAAGGUCCAUCAGAACCAAAGGUUGGCAAAGCGUGGCUGGAAUUAAGGCUCACGCUUUUGUUUGGGAGGGAAAUGAACAGCAGCCCCUGAGUGGGGAGUAUGGGAUGUAGGAGAGCACUCUGGGAGCAGCGCAGGGUCAGAGGAGGAAUGGCUCCAGCAGUGCCUUUGCUUAUACCCAAGCAGGGCAUGCACCUACUCUUAAAGCAAGUAAAACCUCAUUCCCUCAUUCGUGCAAACUUCAGGCCACACCUCAGACCUGGUCCCAACCAUUCAGCCAUCCCUACAGCAUCGGAGAGGAUCAGCUUUGCUUCACAUAUGAGAAAACCCUGGCACAGACACCAUGGCAGCUCAGCCAUGUGUCCCCUCCGCACCCCCUCCUCCUUUAACCCCAUUCAUGCCAGCAUGCUCCGCUCUGGAAUCUCCCAGCAAAAGGAAAAGCUUUAAACAAAAUACAAUUUUACAGUUCAUUUCAGUUAAUCACAGAGUCUAUGUUCUGAAAUGAUCUUCUCGGCAUUGCCUAUGGAGAGAAGCAAUGGCUGAUUGGCAUUCCAUUACUAAACAGCUAAGCCAUUCAUAAUGCAAAAAAACAGACUUGAUGGAAAGAUUUGAUUCAGUUUUCAAGCUAGACUAAUUCAAAACCCAGUGCUCUAUAAAUCAGAGCAAAUGUUCUUUAUAAAAAAAAUAUAGCCGAGCCUGUGUGCAGUAUCAGAUCUAUGAUUUAUGCCUGUAUCCCAUUAAACUGAAGGACAAGCGAGGGGAGCACAGGGCUGCCACUGCAUGCCAGCUCCCUGCCUGCCCCGCAAUAAACACGUUCUGUGACUGCAGGAACAGUGUGAUGUCUGAGGGACGUUUGGGGGCUGAGGGGAUGUUCUGUUUUCCAGGGGCACAGCAAAGCCCCUUGGGGGGCUGUGGAGCCUGCAGGAGGGCAGGGGAUGGUGCCUCGGAGCAGCAGGGCUGUGCUGAAGCCCUCGGUUUUUCCUUCUUUGCUGCACCACCUCAUGCCCUGCAGAGUCCCUUCUGCAGAGAUACCACUGUUUUUCAGCCUGCAGGUGGGAUGUCUCCUUUGAGCAUCACAGGAUACAACAGUUCCCCAGCACCACUUUCAGGCUGCAGCAGAAGGAAGCGGUCCAGGAAACAUCCCACGCGUGUUUCCUUCCUGCUAAACCUCUCCACCCGAUGGCAGCUUCAGCGCUGUGCAUUGCUUUGGUGCAUGGAGCAGUGCUGUGUUCCACACCAAGCCCUGGGUGUGGGUGUUCUUCCACCUCUCCGUGCAUCUCCUGCUCUUGUUUGCCUUCUCUACAGCCCACGUGGCUCCACACCGAGUGGAGCUGGGGGCCGUUAACAUCUGUUGGCACUCCAGAGCUCGUGGGGAAAACGAUGCCAUCUUUCAGGGACCGCCGCUGACAUUUUAAAAGCCGUGUCUGAAAUCCCUGAACAAUUAAGAGCGAGGCUUUCACAUUCCUCCCUACCCACAGCAUUGCACAGGCAAGGCACCAGCUGAGAAGUGCGUGGUGAUAGGAAAAGCCACGAUUAAUGAAUAAUGGAGCGCUGGCAAUAUGUAACUUCCAGGCGGAGCCAUCAUAAUUCAAUCCAAGCAGCAAUAUCAGGGCCUUUCCUUGGAGGAGUCUAAGCAGUGGUUAAAUAUUCAAUAAAAAAAAAAGAUGGC
This 4755-nucleotide long non-coding RNA is filed under the name Gallus gallus (chicken). Its description in RNAcentral is "lncRNA (ENSGALG00010018158.1)". The record is from RNAcentral. Lineage: Eukaryota; Metazoa; Chordata; Aves; Galliformes; Phasianidae.